CCAGUAUCCCCAGUGCCAACCACUUCACUUUCACCCACAUCUGUGCCUUACACCUUCUCCAGCUCCCCAUUCCUCACCUGCAGAAGCCAUCCAUGCUACAGCACUGUGAGGUUGUACGGGAUCUGGAGGCAGGUCAGGGGGAGGAGAGGCCAAAGGUGGGCUAUGGGGUCCCUGGGAUGGUGAUGGGGGUCCUGUCAAGGGACCAUGGGGGUCAGUGAGUUCCCAGGGGGGAUCUUGGAGGUGUAAAGGAGGUCUGAGGGAGGAAAUAGGAGGAUUCCGGGGAAGCCCAGUGGGGGACAUGGGGUGCUGCUGGGGACUGUGGGGCUCCAUGUGGGUAUGGGCCAGCUACGGGGGAGGUGUACUGGGUCUGAGGGGGUCCUGAGGGGCUCCAGGGCUCUGUGGGGGGCUACAGGGUGUCUCUAGGGGUCUUGCUGGGAAACACUGGGAGGGAUAUUGGGGCUCUGAGGGAAUGAUGGGUGGGCUGUCAUGAGAAAGGAAAGGGCAGCCUUGGGGAAAGCAAGGGGACAGCUGGGGGAAGAACAGGGGAACGUCCCAGCAACGGACUUCUUCUUUCACAUCCACAUCUUCUGCUUCCCAACUGAGCUGCAAAGCUGCCAGAGGAGCUGCAGUACCGCUGCCCGACUCCUGCCUGUGUCAGAAAGAGCUGCACGUGAGCAGAGUGCAAUUGCCAUUCUAAAGCCAACUCCAUCACUGCAGUCACAAAACCACAACCUUCAGUAUCUGCUACAGGCAGACGACCAUGCCCUUGCACAGGAACCAUUCCUACAGAGCAAGCGAAGUCCUUCACUGCCUCAGGACGUGAGGAACACAGGAAGGGCCCCAAAGCCUUCAGCACAUGCCAUGGAGCCACCAAAGUUGGCAGCUAAACACACCUUCUCCUUCACGAAUGAGCAAGACCAAUCAAUGCACCCUGCUGCUGCAGAGGGCUGCGCUGCAUCUCCUGGUGCCACCCUUGGGCUGUCAUCGCGCUGCCCACCCACAGCGCACUUUGAAGCGCCGCAGCCUUGCAAGAAAGAACAGAGAGCAAGGAGCUCUGCCGUGCACUUGCUGUGAGAACACAGAGAGGAGCCGUACAGCCCUUGCUCUCAGCAC
This 1113-nucleotide long non-coding RNA is filed under the name Gallus gallus (chicken). RNAcentral describes it as "lncRNA (ENSGALG00010028963.1)". Lineage: Eukaryota; Metazoa; Chordata; Aves; Galliformes; Phasianidae. The record is from RNAcentral.